RNAcentral lists this unclassified non-coding RNA (150 nucleotides) under uncultured Pseudocercosporella. Its description in RNAcentral is "sequence contains ITS1". The record is from RNAcentral. Lineage: Eukaryota; Fungi; Ascomycota; Dothideomycetes; Mycosphaerellales; Mycosphaerellaceae.
CUGAGUGAGGGCCCUCGUGGUCCGACCUCCAACCCUUUGUCGUCCGACUCUGUUGCCUCGGGGGCGACCCUAGGUCUUUCGGGACCGGGGGGCUCCCGGCGGUCUACACAACUCUGCAUCUUUGCGUCUGAGUAAACAUUAAAUGAAACA